Molecule: long non-coding RNA, 635 nt
Filed under: Homo sapiens (human)
Lineage: Eukaryota; Metazoa; Chordata; Mammalia; Primates; Hominidae
Description: non-protein coding lnc-TMEM212-3:1
Source: RNAcentral
GUGUCUGCCGGUGACCACACUUACUCAGGGAAAGAUGAAGUCACCACCUGCAUGAGUUUCAGGAUGGCCAGAGAAUGGCCCCUUCAGAUAGACUGGAGCCACCCUGGGGAGGUAGAAAUUCUUAUGGACUGGAAUCUUCCUCAAGGCUUACUUUGUUCCUGGGAUGCAGUGGUGCAUAGAAGAUAGGGCAUUGACUCACUCAGACCUGGCUUGCCCAGCAUGCAUUGCAACAAUGAUGUGCAAGUUAUUAAAGACAUGAGUGAAUUCGUGACAGAUUGUCAGAAAAGAAACAAGAGUUUUCUACAACAAAAAACUGGCUUAUGGAACAUAUACUUCUGCUUGAGUUGAAUGUGUUGGGCUGAGUGUAAGAAAAUGCAAGCUGCAAAUCUGUCUUACAUGUGGAACCAAAGCUGGAAAUGUGUGCUUUAGAGGCAACUGUAAAAUUGUAUUUCCUUCUGGCAUAUGGGCCAAUGAUUAUGUUGUGUGAGUAAUGCAUAGAUGUAAUCCAUGUGGUAAGCUUUGUGGAUGAAGAAAAUGUCAGUGUUAUUGGCUGAGGCUUGGCAAGCAUUAGCCAUGUGUUUAGAAAAAUUUACAUGGCCUGAAACAAUGCAAAAAAUGUACUGUCCUGUUUGUCA